Molecule: ribosomal RNA, 253 nt
Filed under: uncultured bacterium
Lineage: Bacteria
Description: partial 16S ribosomal RNA
Rfam family: Bacterial small subunit ribosomal RNA
Source: RNAcentral
UACGGGGGGGGCAAGCGUUGUUCGGAAUUACUGGGCGUAAAGGGAGCGUAGGCGGCGUGGUAAGUCAGAUGUGAAAUCCCGGGGCUCAACCCCGGAACUGCAUCCGAUACUGCCAUGCUAGAGGAUUGGAGAGGUAGCUGGAAUUCUUGGUGUAGCAGUGAAAUGCGUAGAGAUCAAGAGGAACACUCGUGGCGAAAGCGAGCUACUGGACAAUUCCUGACGCUGAGGCUCGAAGGCUAGGGUAGCGAAAGGG